CGCGUAGGCGGUUUGCACAGUCAGGCGUGAAAUUCCCGGGCUUAACCUGGGGGCUGCGUUUGAUACUCGCAGACUAGAGGAUGGAAGAGGGUCGUGGAAUUCCCAGUGUAGAGGUGAAAUUCGUAGAUAUUGGAAGAACACCGGUGGCGAAGGCGGCGACCUGGUCCAUUACUGACGCUGAGGCGCGACAGCGUGGGGAGCAAACA
This 206-nucleotide ribosomal RNA is filed under the name uncultured bacterium. RNAcentral's name for it is "partial 16S ribosomal RNA". It matches the Rfam family "Bacterial small subunit ribosomal RNA", at positions 568 to 774 of the family's 1533-position model. The record is from RNAcentral.